GGGGAUGUAGCUCAGUGGUAGAGCACUUGCUAAGCAUGUGAUUGGGUUCAAUCCCCAGUACUGCA
RNAcentral lists this transfer RNA (65 nucleotides) under Marmota monax (woodchuck). Its description in RNAcentral is "tRNA.Undet". Lineage: Eukaryota; Metazoa; Chordata; Mammalia; Rodentia; Sciuridae. The record is from RNAcentral.